ACUCUUUUACAACAGUUUUGGUUAUGGUGACUGAGAAACAAGGUGAAGAAACUGAAGAAUCAUUUUGUCACAUUAGCGUACCAAGCCAAGAUAACAAAAAGCAGUUGGCGUCUUUCGAUAUCACUCAAAAAGAAAUGUUAUAAAUGAAUAAAUUGGAUAUUGCGACAUUGGAUCAGUCGAUACCCACAACCCCACAGAACCUACAACUCUAGAUUUCUGCUUAUCAAAUGUUUAGGAAUGCAAUACUAUAGGAACGCGUUUUGGAUGAUAAAAAUCAUGAAGGAACCUACGUCACUCUGAUUGGUCACGUUAAUACAGCUGACUGCUGACCCCACCUCACUAGCACCCAACCAAGAUACGCAAUAACAACAACCUCGUUGGAGCCGACGAGGAAAAAAUUUGAUAGCUAAUGAAGUAUACGUUAUUUACACCUUACACGAAAUGAAAAAGACGACUGACGAACCAACAUGCCUAGUAAGGCAAGAUACAGCCACUAAAAUAACAGGUCCCACCUUGAUUUCUUCGCUAUAGUUUUCUUGAACCAUACUCUUUCAGCUGGGAGAGAUUGAUAAUCCGAUCCAGGAGAAAUAAUCCAUUCUUCACUUCACAUUUGUACCGAUGGGAUCUGGACAGUUUCAAACUACACUUUUGAUUUGACGACUUUGUUUCAACCACGUGCAAAUGGUACGAUUGGGCAAACCAAAAACACUAUAGAAAAGUUUAUGCAGAUGGAUUUGUUUUUCAAAUAAUUACUACAACCACACAACUUGGUUGAAACUUAUAUGUAAUAUAACACUAGUGAAAGCUUAAUCGAAGCUACAAACCGAGACCGAAACUUCUAUUAAUAAAAACAGACUGCAGGCGAUGCAGACGAACUUUCAAAAUUGGGAAGCGGCGAUGCCACUUUACGAAUCUCGACGUUGCUUAUUUGAAAAAUUAGAUAAAUAAUAAGUAAUAACUAGUUGAUUCAUGUUAUGUACUACCCUACGCUGCUACGCACCUAGUUAAUGAUACUUUUGAAGGCGAAAAUUCAGCGGUUUCCGGUGUAACUACAAGUCUACAACCAUAGGUAAACUACCCUACUGAUAGGCAAGCAGCACAAUCUCAGCAAAGGUGAAUACCCAGUGGCCUUUUAUUGACUACUGAUGACAACAUUACAAACUUAUCGGCACUUUUUCACGUCACAUUCUAAAUUUUGAAGCUGAGAUUUUAAGUAAACGAAUCGAAAAUUCAUUAUGAAAUGAAAAUAAAGACACAUGAAAUAUUAUGAAGUAGGAAGAUAAUAUGCACGAGUUACGUCGACGUUUA
Molecule: long non-coding RNA, 1308 nt
Organism: Daphnia pulicaria
Lineage: Eukaryota; Metazoa; Arthropoda; Branchiopoda; Diplostraca; Daphniidae
Exons: 2
Source: RefSeq, a predicted model, not a curated record